This 301-nucleotide ribosomal RNA is filed under the name uncultured bacterium. RNAcentral describes it as "partial 16S ribosomal RNA". It matches the Rfam family "Bacterial small subunit ribosomal RNA", at positions 509 to 809 of the family's 1533-position model. The record is from RNAcentral.
CAGUAGCCGCGGUAAUACGUAGGUGGCGAGCGUUGUCCGGACUUAUUGGGCGUAAAGGGAGCGCAGGCGGGCGAGUAAGUCUUUCUUAAAAGUGCGGGGCUCAACCCCGUGAGGGGAGAGAAACUACUCAUCUUGAGUGCAGGAGAGGAAAGCGGAAUUCCUAGUGUAGCGGUGAAAUGCGUAGAUAUUAGGAAGAACACCAGUGGCGAAGGCGGCUUUCUGGACUGUAACUGACGCUGAGGCUCGAAAGCCAGGGGAGCGAACGGGAUUAGAUACCCGCGUAGUCCCUGUCUCUUAUACA